GCCCUGGUGCUGGAAUGGUAGACAGGCAUGUUUGAGGGGCAUGUGUAAGAAAUUACGUGGGGGUUCGAGUCUCCCCCAGGGCACCA
Molecule: transfer RNA, 86 nt
Filed under: Deltaproteobacteria bacterium
Lineage: Bacteria; Pseudomonadati; Myxococcota; Myxococcia
Description: tRNA-Leu
Rfam family: tRNA
About the family: Transfer RNA (tRNA) molecules are approximately 80 nucleotides in length. Their secondary structure includes four short double-helical elements and three loops (D, anti-codon, and T loops).
Source: RNAcentral